AGUGAACGCUGGCGGUAGGCCUAACACAUGCAAGUCGAACGGCAGCACAGUAAGAUCUUGCUCUUACGGGUGGCGAGUGGCGGACGGGUGAGGAAUACAUCCGAAUCUACUUUUUCGUGGGGGAUAACGUAGGGAAACUUACGCUAAUACCGCAUACGACCUACGUGUGAAAGCAGGGGAUCUUCGGACCUUGCUCGAAUGACUGAGCCGAUGUCGGAUUAGCUAGUUGGCGGGGUAAAGGCCCACCAAGGCGACGAUCCGUAGCUGGUCUGAGAGGAUGAUCGGCCAACCUGGAACUGAGCAACGGUCCAGACUCCUACGGGAGGCAGCAGUGGGGAAUAUUGGACAAUGGGCGCAAGCCUGAUCCACCCAUACCGCGUGGGUGAAGAAGGCCUUCGGGUUGUAAAGCCCUUUUGUUGGGAAAGACAAGCAGCAGGUUAAUACCCCGCUGUUCUGACGGUACCCAACGAAUAAGCACCGGCUAACUUCGUG
This 492-nucleotide ribosomal RNA is filed under the name uncultured bacterium. RNAcentral describes it as "partial 16S ribosomal RNA". It matches the Rfam family "Bacterial small subunit ribosomal RNA", at positions 29 to 507 of the family's 1533-position model. The record is from RNAcentral.